CAGGACUCAGUAGCCAGCAUUCCACGUGGAUGCUCCUGGUCCUGCCUCGUUGUACUUAAGCCACAUUUGGCGCUGGCUGAGGGGUUAUUGUCUGGUCUCUCCUUCCCAUGCGGCUUCACGGCCAGUGCGUGUCAAGCUUGAGGUUCCUGUGGCUCCACGGUGGUCCUGCCAGGCAGCCUGCCGCCCUUGCUCUCCGCUGCCUCGAGACCGUUACAAAGGCUGUACGUAGUUUAAUAAGCCCCUGGUUAGCCUGUACAUUGGGAAACCUUGACCAGGAUCGCUAAGAUUCCUGGGGCAGAGCUGGGCCGUGGCCUCCCCUGCAGGGCCCGGCCAGGUGCUGAGGGGCCAGCCUCUGGCUCUGGGCCCCUCCGCACCCCCGACCUUCCCGCACG
This 392-nucleotide long non-coding RNA is filed under the name Bos taurus (domestic cattle). Its description in RNAcentral is "long non-coding RNA NONBTAT012041". Lineage: Eukaryota; Metazoa; Chordata; Mammalia; Artiodactyla; Bovidae. The record is from RNAcentral.